GCGGUGGGUCGAUGGACGGAGAGGAAAGGUAUGGUGUCGUUGAUCCGUCCUGCCUGUGGAUUCACUGGAUGCGUCUUGGUGGAGUGAGCGCUCAUGAGAUUCGAUCUGGUUGUUCUUUCCUUCAAGGUCGAUUUGGGGUCAGUAGAUUUGAUCUGGCAUAAGCUCUCCCUUGUUCUUUUGUGCUUGAAUCAGAUUUGGUGGUUCUCAAUCUUGGUCUUCUUUUGUAUGCAUGAUACACAACCGUGAGUGCUCCUCUCCCCUUUCCCUCCCUGCUAAAAUUCAGUUCCAAACACGAUCUGACGGUCUGAGCCCUAUUUGGUGUUGGUGCACUUUCUGAGUAAUUGUAUGUUCAAGAAUUGAUCUAAAUUUAAAGGAUAAGAAAGUUUACAUUUUCUUAUAUGGCUCAGACCGAAUAAAGUCUGAUCAGGUUUGCUGUUGGGUUGUUUGUAAUAUAAAAAACAACCAUAAUCAUCGAGGAGUGAGUCAUUCUCUCAUGGGGAUUUGUUUGCCUAAUAGUAGAAUUCCAAUUGCUUUUGGAUUUGUAUGAUGCAGCUUACAUACUCCCAUCACCCAGUAACAUAUCAAUAUCAGUUACUGCAUCUGGCCGGGUUUAUAUUAUGCAUCCCUACUGAAAGUUUCAUUGUUAAAUAGAAACGAAGAUUACAGUUAUAGAUGAUAGAUAUAUGUAAUUGUGUGCUGCAUUCUCACUGCUUCCAGUAGAUAGUAUCAUUUCAGAGUUCACCUAAAAUUUGCAAUGUUCAAAUUUUUGGGAUCAAAAUACAACUUUUUUUAAAUUUAAGCCAAUAUAAAGUGUGUGCAGGUUGACUUUUAAAACAUUUUUGCUUACAAGAAGGUUAUCAGUUGUAAUGUUUAGCACCUACAUAACCUGAUGGUCCUGUAGUGACUUGGGAUUGGCAACUAAAGAAACAUGGGUAUCGAGCAUAUUAAUGUGAGAAGUAGAUAUACAAUAUGUUAUAAAGGAGAAGACAAGUAAAUAUUGAGUGUGAAAGAUAAGUAUGAUUUUUUUACUAUCAUAUGAAUUAUUGAAUUUAAUCUGGUAUUCAACCCCUCAAAAUUAGAUUUAAUACAUGCUACUACACCAUUACAUAUCUCUACUAUUAAAGGAGAAUUUGACAAGUAAUCAAGCAAGUCAGCACUGUCGUCGAUGGAAGUUGUCGUGCGGAGAUGGAAGUUGACAAGUAAGUUUCUCCAUGAAGUUGAUCUGAUGCGAAGCUUGUGCCAGAUAAAAGGUUAAUUGAGUUCUCAUCUCCAAUAUGUUUGCAUUCUAACUAUCCUUGUUGAUUCAGUGGUUCCAUGAUGCUACAUUUCACUUGUUUUUCACCUCUUGAUGCUACUAUGGACGGAAGGCGUUUGCUAAUUUGCACAUUAAUUUUUUUUCUGAUAAAAUGUGCCAAUAUCACCUGCAUUAUGCUUUUUAAAUUAUUAAUCCCUGCUAUAAUGUAACGUGCCCACAUAACAAGUAUUCCGCAAUCUUCGCAAGCAUGUAUUUGUUUGUCUAACUGUAGGUGAAAGAACAAGAUCCACUGUGUGUGCAACGGCAACAAUAAAUAUCAUGUCAUUAGGGAGACUUCUGAUAAUUCUACUCUGCAUUUUUUUUCUUUAGUAGAAGUGUUCUGCCGCAUUAUUCAACUAUGUGUGACCAAUCUGACACACCUCACGAGUUCUAUAUAUAUAUAUAUAUGGACUGAGCAAUUGAUUCAGGUCUUUUUUCAAGUGGGGAUGCAGAUUGGGCAUCAAGGUGUACGACAGAGGAUGACAAACGAUUACGUUCUGCACGUUAGUCCGCGUACAACUUAAAAGUUGAUUGAUACUUUUCAUUUUAUAUUGAUGGUCCCUCCAGCGAGAACAAUUUUUUGACUCGAUGUGUAGAUAUGCUCUUUUAUUUGUGCGAAGUUGUUCAGACUUUUCUUUGAUUCAUUAUUUUAGCUGCAUACAAAAGGAGUAUGAGUACUGUUUGGUUCCAUGCAGGACCAACCAAGGAAGAGAAGCAAAUCACAACCCUUUAGUUCAUGGUCUAGGAGCAGGAAGAUACACAUCCAUCUUUGUGAUAUUCUGGUAUGAAUAUGCAUGGUACUACGUACAGAAUCCCUCAAUUGUGUAGAUAGGUCAUCAAGUAAUAGUUAGUAAUUCAUACUUCUGCUUCACCUUUUAGUUAAUUAUCCGCUUUCAAGUAUUUGUUGCCGAAGUGAGCAUCUAAUUGCAGGAAUUCUGUGAGGUAACCAUCUCAAUCUUUUUGUCACAAGGCUCUUGCGCGGUAGAGAUUUUUGCUUGGUCAUAAAUGAAUUAGUUCCAUUCUUUGACAGUAAGAGAAUGGAGCCAGAUGGAGGAACAUCAGCAUUGAUGCCAACAUUUCCAUUCUCUUGUUGUAGUAGUGUCUUAAUUGGAAGAAUAUUUUGAUGAUGUUGAUUGCUUUCUAUUCUCAUCUUUUCAUUAUUUUAGAUCACUUUCUCGAUAGUUCAAUACUAUAUUUUUGGGAUUAACUGUAACAUUAUGUGAAUAUAUGUU
This 2526-nucleotide long non-coding RNA is filed under the name Triticum aestivum (bread wheat). RNAcentral describes it as "long non-coding RNA (TAES_LNC017660)". Lineage: Eukaryota; Viridiplantae; Streptophyta; Magnoliopsida; Poales; Poaceae. The record is from RNAcentral.